AAUAGAUACCCCGGUAGUCCACGCCGUAAACGAUGGAUACUAGCUGUUUGAGCGCAAGUUUGAGUGGCUAAGCGAAAGUGAUAAGUAUCCCACCUGGGGAGUACGGGCGCAAGCCUGAAACUCAAAGGAAUUGACGGGGGCCCGCACAAGCGGUGGAGCAUGUGGUUUAAUUCGAUGAUACGCGAGGAACCUUACCAGGGCUUAAAUGUAGAUUGACGUAUUUGGAAACAGAUAUUUCUUCGGACAAUUUACAAGGUGCUGCAUGGUUGUCGUCAGCUCGUGCCGUGAGGUGUCAGGUUAAGUCCUAUAACGAGCGCAACCCCUGUUGUUAGUUGCCAGCGAGUAAUGUCGGGAACUCUAGCAAGACUGCCAGUGUAAACUGUGAGGAAGGUGGGGAUGACGUCAAAUCAUCACGGCCCUUACGUCCUGGGCCACACACGUGCUACAAUGGCCGGUACAGAGAGCAGCCACUUAGCGAUAAGGAGCGAAUCUAUAAAGCCGGUCACAGUUCGGAUCGGAGU
Molecule: ribosomal RNA, 521 nt
Filed under: uncultured bacterium
Lineage: Bacteria
Description: bacterial SSU rRNA
Rfam family: Bacterial small subunit ribosomal RNA
Source: RNAcentral